This 24-nucleotide non-coding RNA is filed under the name Arabidopsis thaliana (thale cress). The record is from RNAcentral. Lineage: Eukaryota; Viridiplantae; Streptophyta; Magnoliopsida; Brassicales; Brassicaceae.
AGACCAGUGAUCUUUCGCUCCACA